This 327-nucleotide unclassified non-coding RNA is filed under the name uncultured fungus. RNAcentral describes it as "partial contains 5.8S ribosomal RNA and internal transcribed spacer 2". The stretch from base 1 to 139 matches the Rfam family "5.8S ribosomal RNA", at positions 22 to 154 of the family's 154-position model. The record is from RNAcentral. Lineage: Eukaryota; Fungi.
UGGUUCUGGCAUCGAUGAAGAACGCAGCGAAAUGCGAUAAGUAGUGUGAAUUGCAGAAUUCAGUGAAUCAUCGAAUCUUUGAACGCACAUUGCGCCCCCUGGAGGACCCCCUCUAGGGGGCAUGCCUGUUCGAGCGUCAUUGGCAGUCCCCAAGCUCUGCUUGGUGUUGGGCGCCUGUCCCGCCUCCCGCGCGGUGACUCGCCUUGAACCCAUCGGCGCCGCGGGGCUUGGCCGGGAACGCAGCACACCGCCGCUCCCGCCAGCCCGCCGGCCCCCGCAAGCACGUUGAACCACUCCGACCUCGGAUCAGGUAGGGAUACCCGCUGA